UGAAACAUCUAAGUACCUGAAGGAAGAGAAAGAAAUUCGAUUCCGUAAGUAGCGGCGAGCGAACGCGGAUUAGCCAAAACCAAUAAAGUUUUCUUUAUUGGGGUUGCGGACAUAUCAUAACGAAGAGGUAUCGUAAUUGAAGAGGUUUGGAAAGACCCACCACAGAAGGUAAUAGUCCUGUAUGUUAAACGAGAAGACUU
RNAcentral lists this ribosomal RNA (200 nucleotides) under Clostridioides difficile. Its description in RNAcentral is "partial 23S ribosomal RNA". It matches the Rfam family "Bacterial large subunit ribosomal RNA", at positions 194 to 395 of the family's 2925-position model. The record is from RNAcentral. Lineage: Bacteria; Bacillati; Bacillota; Clostridia; Peptostreptococcales; Peptostreptococcaceae.